Molecule: long non-coding RNA, 1663 nt
Organism: Canis lupus familiaris (dog)
Lineage: Eukaryota; Metazoa; Chordata; Mammalia; Carnivora; Canidae
Exons: 6
Source: RefSeq, a predicted model, not a curated record
UCGGCCUGGUCGGCGGCGCUCGACCGCUCGGCCCCUCCUGCCCGAGGAAAACCACGUCGGGGCUGGGUUCACCACUCGGAGGGUCCGCCUCACCGAGAGAGUUGGGCAACGACUGUGUCAUCGGUCAGGGCGCUCCAAGGAGAAAUGGACCGAGUUUGAGAAGUGACUCAGAAGACUUCCCCCCCCCCACGUCUUGUGGUUCAGCGAUUGAGGUUGCCCCCUAAUGACAGACACGUGAGGCAUCUUGAGCGGAAGCUGUGUUGGAUGACAUCUGGAUUCUGAAGUACUAGGAAGCACCCUCAGGACAAAAAAUGGUGCCCCAACUCCCCCCAACAAGAAUGAGAGAAAGCAGAUUUACUAGAGCUCAAUGCCUAUUGAAACAUAGGCUAUAAAAUACAGAUGAAAUUCGUUUUAUAGUCUCGUUUAUACCUCCACGCAGAUGCAGAGAUGGAAAACAGAAAGAAAGGUUUCUUCAUACGUCCAGUUAUUUCUAGUUCAUCAGAAUCAAGCUUGAAACGAAGCUCAAAGGAAAUCUGACUACUCUGGCGGGCAGCGUGAGAAGCGGCAACCUGAAUGACAUGCAAGCAGGAGGGUCAGUUCCCAGCACAGCCUGAAUGAGAAGAGCAACUCAUCUUCCGUGAGCCAGACGCCUUUUGAAUUUAUCAGUGCGUACUCCAUCGGAAACCAGGUGCUGUUCCCAAAGGAGAAAACACUGCCCUCCAGUGGUCUUCCCUGGUGAAAUGGAAGUAGCUUCAGGUACCAUGACUGCAGCACUUCACAAAACAUUGUGUGGAAACCAGGCUUCUUGGAAGACUUCAAACUAUGCCAAAUGGUCUGAUUUUACCAUAGAGAGUCCAUUGCUGUGUUCCAUGGAACAGACAAAACUCAGCAAGACAACAAAGACUUGAUCUGCAGGAGAGAAGUGAUUUAGGUUGCAUUGUGCGGUGAGGAGAGCUGCAGCAGCCGAGGCGCCGGAUCUCUCUGUUCACCGCGAGGCUCGGGAUCGCAGAGGGCACUUCCGAGGCUGCACCUGGGGAGCUGGCGUCCACCGGAGGGAGCAAGCGCGGGGCCAGGGCCACUAAUAGUGACUUGAUUUGUUACCAGCCCUUGGUUCCCUUCGUCAUUAAUGUACAUUUCCUGUCUGCGUGGAACACCGAGGAAGGCCUCCUCGCCCAAGUGCCUUCAUGGGAGCCUCCAUCUCUCGCAUGGGUUCUUCUUCUUCUUCUUCUUUUCUUCUUCUUUUUCUUUUUCUUUCCUGGGACAUCAGAAAGUACCUUCUUUCCUCUUCUUGCAAGAACCGACCACUCCUCGGAAGCCGUUAGGAGGCCCCAAUCCUCCCCCCCCCCCCCCCCCACUGGCCAUCCUAAUCCACUUGCUCAAAACACAAGAACAAAGCAAGCCCCCGAAGAACCAGAGUUAGACCCACCUCGAGCAGCGCAAGUGCAACACACUCAUCCUGACGUAGCUAACCUAAGAGGAAAGUAGAUUGUUUUCCUUUUUUAGUCGCUAGCUUUAUUAGAUUUCUCACUCUCACAGAUUAUCCGAAGACUACCCAUUGAUUGAUCGCCCGUAGAGCUGCAUUUGGUGUAAAGAAAAAACUCACAGCUUUAUUGGCUCCCAGGAGACAAAACAAACAGAACAAGAUAUUCAUAUUAAUGCAAAC